GUUGUGACGCCAGUCGCAUCGCCGGGUAGCUAUGUUCGGAAGGGAUAACCGCUGAAAGCAUCUAAGCGGGAAGCCUACCUCAAGAUAAGAUUUCCCUAGGACUUUAUGUCCUCUAAAGAGCCGUUCGAGACUAGGACGUUGAUAGGUUGGAUGUGGAAGCAUAGUGAUAUGUGAAGCUGACCAAUACUAAUUGCUCGUGAGGCUUGACUAU
RNAcentral lists this ribosomal RNA (211 nucleotides) under Acinetobacter baumannii. RNAcentral's name for it is "partial 23S ribosomal RNA". It matches the Rfam family "Bacterial large subunit ribosomal RNA", at positions 2720 to 2925 of the family's 2925-position model. The record is from RNAcentral. Lineage: Bacteria; Pseudomonadati; Pseudomonadota; Gammaproteobacteria; Moraxellales; Moraxellaceae.